GAGGAAUUGUGCAAGUACAGAGUGCUGUGGUGGUUUUAAAAAGGCAAGCUCAGGCCUUUAUUCUGAUUAGCAGAAUAUGGUCAUGGGUCAGAGAUAAGAGACAGGCGGAGGCAGUUGAGGAAGGCUGACCUGGAACUCUGCCUGCUGAAAUGUUUCUGAAGCUGAAGAUGAGGAUCUUGGUGAGCGUUUUACCCAAGGCUAGUCUAAUUAAGACUGGAUCUACCAUGUGAUCAGGAGAUGAACCACAAAGACAGAUGAAAACUGCAGAGAGAGGAAAUACAUCCGAAUGUAAAAAUAUCAAAAAUGUUUUUCUAUGCAAAUCAAAUCUACACU
Long non-coding RNA from Sciurus carolinensis (gray squirrel), 333 nucleotides. RefSeq lists it as uncharacterized. The transcript has 3 exons. Lineage: Eukaryota; Metazoa; Chordata; Mammalia; Rodentia; Sciuridae. The record is from RefSeq and is a predicted model, not a curated record.